This 449-nucleotide ribosomal RNA is filed under the name uncultured bacterium. Its description in RNAcentral is "partial 16S ribosomal RNA". It matches the Rfam family "Bacterial small subunit ribosomal RNA", at positions 29 to 523 of the family's 1533-position model. The record is from RNAcentral.
AAUGAACGCUGGCGGCAUGCCUAACACAUGCAAGUCGAACGAGACCUUCGGGUCUAGUGGCGCACGGGUGCGUAACGCGUGGGAAUCUGCCCUUGGGUUCGGAAUAACUAGCCGAAAGGCGUGCUAAUACCGGAUGAUGACGUAAGUCCAAAGAUUUAUCGCCCAAGGAUGAGCCCGCGUAGGAUUAGCUAGUGGGUGGGGUAAAGGCCCACCAAGGCGACGAUCCUUAGCUGGUCUGAGAGGAUGAUCAGCCACACUGGGACUGAGACACGGCCCAGACUCCUACGGGAGGCAGCAGUGGGGAAUAUUGGACAAUGGGCGAAAGCCUGAUCCAGCAAUGCCGCGUGAGUGAUGAAGGCCUUAGGGUUGUAAAGCUCUUUUACCCGGGAUGAUAAUGACAGUACCGGGAGAAUAAGCCCCGGCUAACUCCGUGCCAGCCGCCGCCGUAA